UGAUGUUGCUAGGUGUAUCCUAUACAAAACCUUUGCCACCAAAAGAUUGUCAUUUGAGUGCCCUAACCGCCGAAGAAGCCGAAAAAACUUAACUUGGAGAUCCUCAAUCCUUGCCAAUGGAUCCAUCUUUUCAUAAUUAAUGACAUUAUUAGAUCUGUUAGAAUCUUCCUGAAGAGAGGGAUGAGGCUCAUUCUCCCGUGUGUCAUCAGAGCAGUAUGAUGUAUCUGGAAGUAGUGGUGGAACCUCUGAACAAUCCGUGUGAGCUCGGGCAUUAGAAUCUUCAUCCACAGGUCCCUCAGAGAAGAAACUGCCACUGCCAGACAACGAUCUAGACAUGGCCAAAGACUUGGACAAUAAUCGAGUAAAAACCCAAUCUCUAAUACUCUUCAUCCCAACAGAUAAUUAGAUAUUGAGAAUGCGAAAAUCUGUAUAGAAUCGAAAACCCGCG
This 448-nucleotide unclassified non-coding RNA is filed under the name Hevea brasiliensis (rubber tree). The record is from RNAcentral. Lineage: Eukaryota; Viridiplantae; Streptophyta; Magnoliopsida; Malpighiales; Euphorbiaceae.